GACGAACGCUGGCGGCGUGCCUAAUACAUGCAAGUUGAGCGCUGAAGGUUGGUACUUGUACCAACUGGAUGAGCAGCGAACGGGUGAGUAACGCGUGGGGAAUCUGCCUUUGAGCGGGGGACAACAUUUGGAAACGAAUGCUAAUACCGCAUAAAAACUUUAAACACAAGUUUUAAGUUUGAAAGAUGCAAUUGCAUCACUCAAAGAUGAUCCCGCGUUGUAUUAGCUAGUUGGUGAGGUAAAGGCUCACCAAGGCGAUGAUACAUAGCCGACCUGAGAGGGUGAUCGGCCACAUUGGGACUGAGACACGGCCCAAACUCCUACGGGAGGCAGCAGUAGGGAAUCUUCGGCAAUGGACGAAAGUCUGACCGAGCAACGCCGCGUGAAUGAAGAAGGUCUUCGGAUCGUAAAGCUCUGUUGGUAGGGAAGAACGUUGGAGAGAGUGGAAAGCUCAUCAAGGGACGGAAACGAACCAGAAAGGGACGGCGACCUACGG
Molecule: ribosomal RNA, 496 nt
Filed under: uncultured bacterium
Lineage: Bacteria
Description: partial 16S ribosomal RNA
Rfam family: Bacterial small subunit ribosomal RNA
Source: RNAcentral